GAUGAAGAACGCAGCGAAAUGCGAUAAGUAAUGUGAAUUGCAGAAUUCAGUGAAUCAUCGAAUCUUUGAACGCACAUUGCGCCCGUCAGUAUUCUGGCGGGCAUGCCUGUUCGAGCGUCAUUACGCCCCUCAAGUCCCCUGUGGACUUGGUGUUGGGGAUCGGCGAGGCUGGUUUUCCAGCACAGCCGUCCCUCAAAUUAAUUGGCGGUCUCGCCGUGGCCCUCCUCUGCGCAGUAGUAAAACACUCGCAACAGGAGCCCGGCGCGGUCCACUGCCGUAAAACCCCCCAACUUUUUAUAGUUGACCUCGAAUCAGGUAGGACUACCCGCUGAACUUAAGCAUUGAAUAAGCGGAGGA
RNAcentral lists this unclassified non-coding RNA (357 nucleotides) under soil metagenome. Its description in RNAcentral is "partial contains 5.8S ribosomal RNA, internal transcribed spacer 2, and large subunit ribosomal RNA". The stretch from base 1 to 120 matches the Rfam family "5.8S ribosomal RNA", at positions 35 to 154 of the family's 154-position model. The record is from RNAcentral.